RNAcentral lists this ribosomal RNA (497 nucleotides) under uncultured bacterium. RNAcentral's name for it is "partial 16S ribosomal RNA". It matches the Rfam family "Bacterial small subunit ribosomal RNA", at positions 28 to 507 of the family's 1533-position model. The record is from RNAcentral.
GAUGAACGCUGGCGGCGUGCCUAAUACAUGCAAGUCGAGCGAACAGACGAGGAGCUUGCUCCUCUGACGUUAGCGGCGGACGGGUGAGUAACACGUGGAUAACCUACCUAUAAGACUGGGAUAACUUCGGGAAACCGGCGCUAAUACCGGAUAAUAUAUUGAACCGCAUGGUUCAAUAGUGAAAGUCGGUUUUGCUGUCACUUAUAGAUGGAUCCGCGCCGCAUUAGCUAGUUGUUAAGUUAACGGCUUACCAAGGCGACGAUGCGUAGCCGACCUGGGAGGGGGAUCGGCCACACUGGAACUGAGACACGGUCCAGACUCCUACGGGAGGCAGCAGUAGGGAAUCUUCCGCAAUGGGCGAAAGCCUGACGGAGCAAGGCCGCGUGAGUGAUAAAGGUCUUCGGAUCGUAAAACUCUGUUAUUAGGGAAGAACAAAUGUGUAAGUAACUAUGCACGUAUUGACGGUACCUAAUCAGAAAGCCACGGCUAACUACGUG